AGACCCGAAACCCGGUGAUCUAGCCAUGGGCAGGUUGAAGGUUGGGUAACACUAACUGGAGGACCGAACCGACUAAUGUUGAAAAAUUAGCGGAUGACCUGUGGCUGGGGGUGAAAGGCCAAUCAAACCGGGAGAUAGCUGGUUCUCCCCGAAAGCUAUUUAGGUAGCGCCUCGUGAAUUCAUCUCCGGGGGUAGAGCACUGUUUCGGCUAGGGGGCCAUCCCGGCUUACCAACCCGAUGCAAACUGCGAAUACCGGAGAAUGUUAUCACGGGAGACACACGGCGGGUGCUAACGUCCGUCGUGAAGAGGGAAACAACCCAGACCGCCAGCUAAGGUCCCAAAGUCAUGGUUAAGUGGGAAACGAUGUGGGAAGGCCCAGACAGCCAGGAUGUUGGCUUAGAAGCAGCCAUCAUUUAAAGAAAGCGUAAUAGCUCACUGGUCGAGUCGGCCUGCGCGGAAGAUGUAACGGGGCUAAACCAUGCACCGAAGCUGCGGCAGCGAACGUAUCACCCAAGACAACUUUACGGAGUUGACGAUUGACGGAGCGAAGCGACGUCAAAGCGUUCAUUAAAGUCAAGUUGGCUUAGGGAUACGUUCGUUGGGUAGGGGAGCGUUCUGUAAGCCUGUGAAGGUGUGUCGUGAGGCAUGCUGGAGGUAUCAGAAGUGCGAAUGCUGACAUAAGUAACGAUAAAGCGGGUGAAAAGCCCGCUCGCCGGAAGACCAAGGGUUCCUGUCCAACGUUAAUCGGGGCAGGGUGAGUCGACCCCUAAGGCGAGGCCGAAAGGCGUAGUCGAUGGGAAACGGGUUAAUAUUCCCGUACUUGGUGUUACUGCGAAGGGGGGACGGAGAAGGCUAUGUUGGCCGGGCGACGGUUGUCCCGGUUUAAGCGUGUAGGUGUGUGUUCCAGGUAAAUCCGGUUCACUUUAACACUGAGGCGUGACGACGAGGCACUACGGUGCUGAAGCAACAAAUGCCCUGCUUCCAGGAAAAGCCUCUAAGCAUCAGGUAACACGAAAUCGUACCCCAAACCGACACAGGUGGUCAGGUAGAGAAUACCAAGGCGCUUGAGAGAACUCGGGUGAAGGAACUAGGCAAAAUGGUGCCGUAACUUCGGGAGAAGGCACGCUGACACGUAGGUGAAGUGAUUUACUCAUGGAGCUGAAGUCAGUCGAAGAUACCAGCUGGCUGCAACUGUUUAUUAAAAACACAGCACUGUGCAAACACGAAAGUGGACGUAUACGGUGUGACGCCUGCCCGGUGCCGGAAGGUUAAUUGAUGGGGUCAGCG
RNAcentral lists this ribosomal RNA (1288 nucleotides) under Salmonella enterica. RNAcentral's name for it is "partial 23S ribosomal RNA". It matches the Rfam family "Bacterial large subunit ribosomal RNA", at positions 711 to 1895 of the family's 2925-position model. The record is from RNAcentral. Lineage: Bacteria; Pseudomonadati; Pseudomonadota; Gammaproteobacteria; Enterobacterales; Enterobacteriaceae.